GUGUAGUCAAUUCUGGGGAGGUUGUCAGAGCGACGGGUCUGCCGAAGGCAAGGAACGGAGUCACAGGUUAAUAGCAAUGAGCCUUCAGGCAAAAGUCCAAGAGUAGGUUUCAGCCCAAAGGUAAAGAGACUCUUCUUUGAUCCCUACUUCGUCAUAAAGAAUGGAGCCCAACGUAAUGGAAGACAGAACUGCAGCCACCAAGAGGCAUACACCAAAAUUUCCAGGAGUGUAGAAGAUUGCACAGAUUAUGAUGCUAUAGACCGAAGCGAGAGCACCUUUUGGGACUUUCUGGCUGUGAAGAGAGUAUCUACCGGUUAAUCUGAAUCUCCUGAGAGGGUUGAUAAGGGACAGCGGACCCAUUAUAUCCAUUUUGUUUUGCAGCAUGCCCUGGCCUACACUGACUAAUACAUCAACGUGGAAAGAAGAACAAUGUGCUGUAUGAAGGUGUAUCCUCCAUCCUCAAGGCCUAAACUCUAGAAAUCUCCAUUUUACUGGGAAAGAAACACAAAGGGUGAGAGGUGCUGGAGCUGUUCUCCACAUCCCAUAUGCUGGGCAACAUGGAGACCAUGUCUGAGGCUUUUGCCCAGCCUCCUGGAGUAAACGCACCCGACAUGCACGGUCAGAUAUCUGCAUCAGCUGAGUGGAUUACCCUCACUUUUCAAUUAUGUGACCUAAUUCUCUUCCUCUUCAUGAAUGAAAGAGAAUAAUAUUCUUUAUAUAAUUCAUAAAAUGAU
Non-coding RNA from Leptonychotes weddellii (Weddell seal), 734 nucleotides. NCBI's taxonomy places the organism in Eukaryota, Metazoa, Chordata, Mammalia, Carnivora, Phocidae. The record is from RefSeq and is a predicted model, not a curated record.